ACCCCAUGGAGCUUUAAACCCAACAACACCCGCCCCCCUCCAAAUCCUAUUAUGUGCCCGGUGACUGUUUGUUCGGUUUUAGGUUGGGGUGACCGCGGAGUAUAAGAUAUCCUCCAUGAAAAAAAGCUAACUGCCCUUAUUAGAGAAAGACACUUCCAAAAAAUAAUAAAUUAAUUUUAAAUGAUCCGACAUUCGAUCAACGAACCAAGUUACCCUGGGGAUAACAGCGCAAUCCGUCCCGAGAGCCCCUAUCGACAGGCGGGUUUACGACCUCGAUGUUGGAUCAGGGUAUCCUAGUGGUGCAGCAGCUACUAAAGGUUCGUUUGUUCAACGAUUAAAACCCU
RNAcentral lists this ribosomal RNA (344 nucleotides) under Boophis madagascariensis (Madagascar bright-eyed frog). RNAcentral describes it as "partial 16S ribosomal RNA". It matches the Rfam family "Bacterial large subunit ribosomal RNA", at positions 2088 to 2597 of the family's 2925-position model. Lineage: Eukaryota; Metazoa; Chordata; Amphibia; Anura; Mantellidae. The record is from RNAcentral.